GACAGCGCACUACAUUUGCUGUCCGCCUGGGAACUACGAGCAUUAGCUUAAAACCCAAAGGACUUGGCGGUGCUUUAGAUCCACCUAGAGGAGCCUGUUCUAGAACCGAUAACCCCCGUUCAACCUCACCCCCUCUUGUCCCUCACCGCCUAUAUACCACCGUCGUCAGCUUACCCUGUGAAGGCCCCAUAGUAAGCAAAAUUGGUACAACCCAAAACGUCAGGUCGAGGUGUAGCGUAUGAGGGGGGAAGAAAUGGGCUACAUUCACUAUACAGUGAAUACGGAUAAUACACUNAAAUGUCUAUUUNAAGGAGGAUUUAGCAGUAAGCAGGAAAUAGAGUGUCCC
Molecule: ribosomal RNA, 346 nt
Filed under: Triacanthodes sp. AD-2003
Lineage: Eukaryota; Metazoa; Chordata; Actinopteri; Tetraodontiformes; Triacanthodidae
Description: partial 12S ribosomal RNA
Rfam family: Bacterial small subunit ribosomal RNA
Source: RNAcentral